Molecule: long non-coding RNA, 509 nt
Organism: Balaenoptera ricei (Rice's whale)
Lineage: Eukaryota; Metazoa; Chordata; Mammalia; Artiodactyla; Balaenopteridae
Exons: 3
Source: RefSeq, a predicted model, not a curated record
GACUCUCACUGGUAGUUAGAUUCUAUCUUUAGCUUUGGCCCCUUUGAAUCCCCCCCGUAUCCCUUUCAGCGGCAUGGAGUGCAGUUUCGAAUGCCUCUGGAUCAUCUUCUACCUGAUCCUGCCUGUAUGGGGCUUCCCUGGUGGCGCAGUGGUUGAGAAUAUGCCUGCCAAUGCAGGGGACGCGAGUUCGAGCCCUGGUCCGGGAAGAUCCCACAUGCCGCAGAGCUACUAGGCCUGUGAGCCACAACUACUGAGCCUGCGCGUCUGGAGCCUGUGCUCCUCAACAAGAGAGGCCACGACAGUGAGAGGCCCGCACACCGCGAUGAAGAGUAGCCCCGCUUGCCACAACUAGAGAAAGCCCUCGCACAGAAACGAAGACCCAACACAGCCAAAAAUUUAGAAAAAAAAAAAAAAGCCAUUAAAGUGCUGAAAUAUUCCAUUGUCUGGAUAUACCACAGUUUACUCGUUCACCUACUGAAGGACAUCUUGGUGGCUUUCAACAUUUGGCA